UACAGAGGGUGCAAGCGUUGUUCGGAAUUAUUGGGCGUAAAGCGCGUGUAGGCGGCUUUGCAAGUCGGGUGUGAAAGCCCUCAGCUCAACUGAGGAAGUGCGCCCGAAACUGCAGAGCUUGAGUGCCGGAGAGGAAAGCGGAAUUCCUGGUGUAGAGGUGAAAUUCGUAGAUAUCAGGAGGAACACCAGUGGCGAAGGCGGCUUUCUGGACGGUAACUGGACGCUGAGACGGCGAAAAGCGUGGGGAGCAAACAGGG
Molecule: ribosomal RNA, 257 nt
Filed under: uncultured bacterium
Lineage: Bacteria
Description: partial 16S ribosomal RNA
Rfam family: Bacterial small subunit ribosomal RNA
Source: RNAcentral